AAUUUGGGCUUCAGUAAAUAUUAAAUUUUGGACCUAUUGUUAUUUAAUUUAUUUAGCCCAAAUGAAUUUAGCCUUGAACCCGUUACCCAUAACCCAUUUCAUUUGGCCAUUUCCCUCACAUUUUCAAUCGCCAACAGAAUACGAGCUCAGGCAGCAGCAAGAAUUGUGAAUUUCCUCCAAAUUGCCAAACCCUUUUCCUCAAUCUCACUUUUUCUUGCUCUAAAUUCACACCACAAACCACACGACCUAGCUGACUAGCUCCAGACUCCGAGCAGACCAAAUAAACAGCAAACUCAUCAAAUCAUUCGUUGCUUGCCUACUUUUGGCUCCGCGCCUGCUCCCGAUUGUCGAACUCCCAAACGCCUGAACCGCCAACCGGUGAACCGGACAGUGAACUCCAUCAGGCAUCAGACUUUCAGAUCGGUGACUCCUUCUUUCCC
This 440-nucleotide long non-coding RNA is filed under the name Olea europaea (common olive). RNAcentral's name for it is "long non-coding RNA (OEUR_LNC000333)". The record is from RNAcentral. Lineage: Eukaryota; Viridiplantae; Streptophyta; Magnoliopsida; Lamiales; Oleaceae.